GUGGCUGGUGGGGCCGGGGACGCUGCUCUGCCCCCAGAGUGACCCGCCCCGACGUCAACGGCACCGGGAGGAGACCCUGUUGAAUUUAAACUGCCAAAACACGGUGGAAUAUAUCGCGCCAUCAGAACAGAACCUAGUGAGUGGGUUCCACCCCAGACACACGUUGGUUGUCAUAGUAAUUUCCCAGUGCAAACAGGUCUCCCGGGAGGCAGCAUGGGAGCAGGAGCAUCAGGACUUGGGACAGGGGUCUCUGGGCUCAGAGAGCCCCCGCGUGGAAUCCCAAUCAAUUUUCACGCAGCCGGGCUCCCAUGGUUGCUGUAAACGUCAUACACUUGUGGGAAAUAUGCCUGCACUCAGUCAGGAGGGCCCUCGCCCUACGGGACCCGUUCCCACAUUUCCCCCACGGCUCACAUGAGGCCCCUUGACGAAGGUUGAUCUUUGGGACACGCCUCUGACCCCGGGAGGAGACAGCCAUCCACGAACCAGGAAUGGGAUCCCCCCACCGGACACCGAAUCUACCGACGCCUGGACCUUGGACUCCCAGCCUCCGAAACCGAGAAAUAAAUUUCUGUUGUUUACAAAC
Felis catus (domestic cat) is the source of this 583-nucleotide long non-coding RNA. RefSeq lists it as uncharacterized. Lineage: Eukaryota; Metazoa; Chordata; Mammalia; Carnivora; Felidae. The record is from RefSeq and is a predicted model, not a curated record. The transcript has 2 exons.